CGGCAAUCUUCAAAACAGCAGAAGAAACUGGCACAGUCCUUGCCAUCCAGACACUCAUACCCAUAUUCUUCAUCUCUCUCUUGAAGGUGAAAAAAACUUGAACACAGAAAGAAUAAGGAAUCUGUCCAAGAUAGAAGGUGAAAAAGAUGAGGUACAAGCCUACAAAGUCUGACUUAAACACUACAUUCUGACCCACACUGUUAUAUUCCCUCUCUAUGAAUAUGUACCUAAUAUGCUGCAUGAAGCACCCACCAGCCACUUGGAAGCUAGUGUAUUUUCCUGAUUCAGGAUAAUAACGGAGUGUGGGUCUUCCAUAUUGUCAUUGUAGAAUCUUAGCAAUGGUCUAGUUUCUCAUCUACAAACUGGGAGUGGCAUGGGGAGGGGCAUACCUCAGCAUGUUCUUAUGAAGAUUAAAUUAUGUAAUUUUCAUUAAGUGUCAUUUCCUAGUAAAAUAUCAAUAAAUGUAAGAUAUUUAGAGAAGAAGAGUCUGUUUCUCGAACUAAAAAAACUUCACUCAAGUUGUCCAUGCAAUAAUUCCUGGAGAAGUUAUUAACUAUUUGUAAUUAUACUUGAUAAUAUUUUGGGGGGAGAAUUUAAAAACUAAACUGGCUCCUUGGCCUUCACUCCACAUUCAAGCCUCAAGCCACCCUUGAUCUAUGGAGGAGUGAAAAUGUCAUCAUUUACAGUAGAUACCAUAGACAAGUUUACUUAAGACAAUCUAACAUGUAACUUAAACAUUUAUCUAGCAAGUUGGGACGAUGGAAGUUCAUCACAGUCGUGUAAAAGAAGACUCAUGAAAAACCACUUCAUGGUAUUUUCAGGUUUCUGGUUGGAGCCACAGGGAGUGAAAAGUGGGUGGCAGACGAGUGAUAGUUAUAACUGAUCCACCCACCAACAACAUGAUAGCUGGGGGUGUUUUUUAAGUCCAGUUUUGCUAAGGAAAGAAUUAGACUUACCUGGGUAAGUGAAAAAUAUGCAUAGCUUUUAUCAAUUCCUCCAGUCUUAGCAUCAAGUAAGCUUGCAGGCAUGCUAGCUUUUACUCUGAUUACUCAGGUGAAAAAUACCGACUGGUGUUUUUAUUGUUUCAUACAUCAACACUGAACCAUGAUUAAGGCUUACCAGCUACCACCUGUGUACCAAACUACAUUCAAGAGUUAGAAGCCCCACAAUGACUUCUUCCCAUGCUCUUGUGGUCUGAGCUCAGAAAGCAGAGUCUGAGCCAUAUAGGUAUAUUUAUCUCACUCAUCCAAAACUUGGCUUUAUUCUGUGACAAGAAACUUUAGGUCCACAGGUGUGUAGGGUCAUCUGGUUUAACUCUCGAUUGUAAACACUGGAAAAGGUAAUGUGAUCACACGUUAGAAUCAUCUGGGGAUUUCUUUUUUUUCUUUUUUAAACCUGAUAUGCAAGCCAAGCUCUCAAAAUUUAAAUAAACAUCUUCUGGGAUUGGACUGAGGCAGCUAUAUAAAUGUGCAGUUGAAUUUAAGACACACUGAUCUAGAGAAGGGAGACAGCAUAGUUAACACAGAGAAGCAAUCUCAGCUGCCUACCUUUCCCCACAACUGGCCUUCAACAAGGGCUCACACACACA
Mustela erminea (ermine) is the source of this 1588-nucleotide long non-coding RNA. RefSeq lists it as uncharacterized. The record is from RefSeq and is a predicted model, not a curated record. Lineage: Eukaryota; Metazoa; Chordata; Mammalia; Carnivora; Mustelidae. The transcript has 2 exons.